This is a long non-coding RNA of Mustela erminea (ermine), 860 nucleotides long. RefSeq lists it as uncharacterized. Lineage: Eukaryota; Metazoa; Chordata; Mammalia; Carnivora; Mustelidae. The record is from RefSeq and is a predicted model, not a curated record. The transcript has 3 exons.
GGAGUAGGAGAGCCGCUGGAGGAGUAGGAGAGCCGUCAGAGCCAGGAGAGCCAUCAGAGCUCUUUUAAGAGCUGUCAGAGCCCCUGCUGCCCUGAGCCACCGCCUCGCCGAGCGGCCUUGCGGGAGCAGUGUCAUUCUGGGGAGCAGCUUCAUUCUGGGAGCGGCUUCCUCCAUGUGAGGCCUCCUCGGUGAGCGGCCUAGUCAGGAGCAGCAUCGUCUGGGGAGAGGCCUCGCCAGAGCAGCCCCUGUCCGGGGAGCGGCCCUGUCUGGGGAGUAGGCUCAUUAGCAAUGGCCUCAUCUUGGGAGUGGCCUCAUCUUGGGAGUGGCCUUGUUGGUGUGUGGCCUUGUCCAGCGCAGCCUUGUCUGGAGUGGCCUCGUCCAGAGCGGCCUUGUCCGGAGUGGUCUUGUCUGGGGAGCGGCCUCGUCCAGGGAGCGGCCUCCUCCAGAGCAGCCUCAUUGGGAGCGGCCUUGUUGGGGUCAUCGUUGUUGCCUCUCAUUCCUUUGAUCACGGACCCUAACAACCUCUUCGUAAGAGACGACCCCUACUAGUCGGUUUGGUUUCUGAUGCUUGGCGCGAAAUAAAGCCUUGCUUGACUUUCGCUUUGCAUCAGUCUUUUUCCUUUGAUCAUGGACCCUAACACUGGGGGCUCGUCAGGGAUCAAACAAUGAGAACUGAGCCAGCAUUGGAAUUUAUGGGAAAAGCCUCCGGAGGUAUUGGGAUCUUGUCUGUCUGUCUGGUUGCGGAACUCCAGGGUAUAGCCCAACGGGGAGAAGCUGGACAUGGCCAUGCUCCCCAGGGCUGGAGUGGAUGCAGGGAUGCCCCAUCCCUCUGCUGGUAGACCGACAGGGGGUUCAAGUCC